Molecule: long non-coding RNA, 6265 nt
Filed under: Solanum tuberosum (potato)
Lineage: Eukaryota; Viridiplantae; Streptophyta; Magnoliopsida; Solanales; Solanaceae
Description: long non-coding RNA (STUB_LNC006929)
Source: RNAcentral
GUCUGAGGCCGCGCCGGCGCCGGAUGAUCGCCGACCGAUUCAUACUUGUAAUCCAUCAAAAUUCACUCAAAAAUUUUGAAAUUUUUCUUGAAAUUCACAAUGCCAAAACAGCAAAUCGUUACAUAUAUAGAGAGAUUGAGAGCAAAAAAGGUAGGGUUUUUUUCUGGGAGUGAUGAACAGUGAUUUUGGGAUUUGUGUUGAAAAAAUGAGACCUUUUUCUGACUCAAGUACAACACAUUAUAAAGCAGUCAGGUGAGUAGAAUGUGAGAAUUAACGGGUCGUUUGGUACGGUGUAUUAGAAAAAAUAGUUCAUGUUUUGUAUUGGGAUAAGACAUAAGUACCGUCAAAAUCAAAAUUUCAGAGAUGCAUCUUAACUAAAUUAAGAUCUUAUUAAAAAAGAAUCUAUAAUUUUUUUGUAAUUUGUACACACUUUUGACUUAUGUGGCAUCCAAACAUCUCUCACGUGCCUUAACUACGUGGAGUCAUGCAGUGUGCCACAUAAGCCAAAAGGGGUAUUUAAAAUCUUAGUUUAGUUAAGGUGUGUCUAUGAGAUUUCGAUUACUUGUGUCUUAUCCAUUUUAUAUUAAUAUUUAAACCACAUUUAAGAUUAUGUAAGAAACAAUACACCAAAUACUUGAUAAAAAAUAGUCUCUGCAUUACCAAUUUCUACAUUACUAAUUAUUGUGCUAUUAAUCUUUGUAACAAACGACCCCUUAAUGUGAUGUGAAUAAUUUACUUUCAAGUAAAUAUCAUUAGUAAUUGUUUCUUCUUCUUUUUUGUCGAUAAAUAACUUUGUUGUCUUUAUUUCGUAUUCUGUUUUAAAUGUUUAUACGAUACAAUGCAUCAUUUACCAUCUAAUUUUUUUUUAAAAAAAUGUGUUUGAAUAAAAAAGAUACAAAUUUAUUAAUGAAUCUUUUAUCGAUAAAAUAUUGUUGACAAUGUGUUGAAUUGACAGGCGUUGAUCUAGUCGGCAUUGAAGGUCCAAUUGUAUUAUAGGAAUUCGAAAAAAAAGAGUUCAGAAACUCUACGUGACAGGAAAAUAGAGAAUUUUGUUAGAUUAUGAGCUUGCACAUUUUAUAUUCGAAGAAUAUAUAAAAUAUUAAUAUCUUUAAAAGAAGAUAUCUAUAUUCAUAUAUCCUCGUAAAUGAUAUUUAUUUCUCAAAUAUCAGUAUCUUCUUUUGUAAUAUUUGUACCACAUUCUUUGCAUCUAAUAAUACAUGAAUUGUUAGCGAUUCAGUGAUUUACAAAUUGAAUAGGAGUGUUAGAAUAACCAUAGUCGUCAUUUCGAUGCUUGCAUUUUUCUUGUCCAUUUAUAAAUCUAUAUAUGUAAAAACAAUAAUUCUAUCUUAUGCCAUAUUAUUUCCAUCAUGAAUGUUGUUAGGUAUAUAUAUGUCAAGACAUGUAAUUUGCAAGACAUUGUCAUUAAACAUCAUUAGUUUAAGAGAGCUGGAGUAUUGAUAUGUAUAUCGAAAUUAAUUAUUUUAUCAUAUUUGUGAAUUUUUUUUUAUAUCUAAUUUCGAUCUGUUAAUAGGAGUCGAUUUUCACGCUAACAGAGCUUUGAGACAACUAAAAAAAAUACAUUUUUAAAUACAUUUUAUACCCUUCCCUAGGAGCUCUCACUUUUUUCGUCUCUUGGUGACACGAACUUACGAUCUUAAAAUCGAAAGUAUUCGAUGUUUACCAUCCGAACAACUCCCUCUUGUCUAACAGGUAAGACAUUAAGAAUGUAUUUUCUGAUAAAAUAAUUUUAUUUUCAUGAACCACAAAAUUUCUAAAAAGAUUUUGAAAACAAAUGACAAUUGGCUUGAGGCCAAUAAAUACUAGCAUCAAUAAAAUUAACAAAAUCAUUCGCUAAAUGAUAAUCAGAUCCCUCAUACUUAUCUGAAUUAGUAUAGUGUCAAAUAAUUUUAUCAGAAGUUUCAAUAAUAGAAAUUGAGAUGGACAAGAUUAAAUUAAUACCAUUAAAAUAAAUUAUUUAUGAAGUUCUUAAAUAUUCCAUAUAUGAUUGUGUUGAUCUAUUUGUAAUAAUAUGCAGUAGCUCGUAUCUUAAAUUUAAUCUACUACAUAUUGUGACUAUCAAUUUUGAGAUAUUUGAGGUAAAAUAGUCAAGUUGGAUAAUUUUGCUAGUUUUCACAAAUUUUGAUGGUAUAAACCUUAUUUAAAAAGAGUACAUUCAAAUUCUAAUAUUGUUUGCAAAAAGUAUGGUUAAACACAAUUUCAAUUUUAAUUUAUUUAUUUUUAAAAAUAAAGUGUCUUUUUGUGUUUUCAUGCACCCACUAAGUUAUUUUAACCCUCCAAAAAAGGGAAAUGCUUUUGAGUAUUGAUAGCAAAGCUCUUCUUGAUUGAAGGAUAAGGAUGAAGCUUUAGAAGCUCUAAAGAAAUUCAUGACAAAAUCUUAAAUGUCAAAUACAACGGACUUCAACUGCAGAUCCAACAAAGUAGUUUGAUUCAGUUUUUUAAGCGUUAGAUUUUUUCUCAUAAAUUUAUAUGCUUUUACUUGAAUAUUGUCGAUCUGAAGUUGUCAUUUUGAUUUGUUGUCUCAAGUAAAGACGUUAGAUUGAUUCUCAUAAAUCUAUAUGUUGUUGCUUCGAUCAAGACUUUAAAACAUUGCGUUCCUUAAAAUUCUUUAGAUUGUUCCUUCGAAUUUUUAAUAUUUUUACAUCUGUUUUCAGGUUUUUUUUUUCUAUUUUUACUUUCUCACUUUUAAAUAAUCAAUUCUAAAUUUGAGAUCUCCCUAACCUCAUUAUUAUACCUAUCAUAAAUAUUUUUUUCUAUUACUGGAGAGAAAUUAUAAGUCGUCAAAUUCUCUGAGAAAUUGAACUAGAAAUAAGAAAUUAAUAGAUUAGCUGAUUGUGGUAGAUUAAUAAAAUGUUAAUUACCAAAACAGACAUUAUUAAUUUUUAAUUUAAAAAUAUUCUUAAAUAAAUUAUAUUUAUAAAAUCUAUCCUUAUUGGUGUCAAUGGGGAUCAUGAGUUUCUUCAUAGAUGUUCACACUCAACAGUACUCUUUUCUAUCUUUACAUUUUUUCUUAAAAAGAAAAAGGGUUUUAUAAUUUGAAUUUUAUGUGAUCUUUUUAGAGGUUUUGAAGUCUUAAUAUGACAUUGUAUCCUUUGUUUUAUGAAACACAUGAAUUAACAAUUAAGAAAUACAAAAUUUUAUAAUUUGAUUUGCUUCAUGUGUUUAAGUUAUUGAAAUGAAAUAACUCACACUGAUGAAGCUAUCGAAGAUCAUGGAUAUAAAGAAAAUGAUGUCCUGAUCGAGAUACAAGUGAAAAGUAUGAAUUUUCAAACAUAUUAUUUGUGCAUUAUCAAUCUUAUUGCUAAUGCGCAACUUGUGUGUUUGACUAUUCAUAGUUUUCACUUAUAUCGCGAUCCUCAUGUCAAUGUCUUCAUGUCCAUAGUCGAUCAAAUUGUAAGAUAUUGUGUUUUUUAAAAUUUAAAAUUUAUGUGUUUGAUAUGUGGAUCGUCUGAUUUUGAGAUCCGUCUGAGUAAGUAACAAUUUACUACUCCAUUCUGUUCAUUUAUACUUGUCACUGUUUGACUUGGCACACUCAUUAAGAAAAUAAUUGAGUAAAUUACAUAACGAGUUUACAACGAUGAAGUGAGCUAAUGAAGAACACUUAGAGCUGGGGGUUGUCCAGUUUUACAUAUUUCACUUGAUAAAUAAAGAAAAAAUUACGCGAUAGAGCAAACUAAGUCCUAUUUACCUGAAACAGCGAUAGUUUUACAUAUUUCACUUGAUAAAUAAAGAAAAAAUUACACGAUAGAGCAAACUAAGUCCUUCUAUUUACCUGAAACAGUGAUAGUUUUACAAUAUUACGAUAUGUAGGAAUCACAAGAACCUGGAGAACGAAAUUGAAAAUUUGAAGAACAAGAGGUUCUUUUGUCUACUUAUCUUCUUAUCGCUCUUCGAUCAGUCACAGAAGCUUCGUUGAUGAAAAGGAAUCCCUCAAAUUCGCUCCUCAAAUGGCGCUAUGUCAAGUCUUGCAAUCUAAUUUCGUGCACCCAAUCUACUAGAGACUAAUAUCCCCUUCCCAUCUGUGACGAUGCAAUUCUUUCCUCUAAGGAUGUUACGUCACUCUGUUGCUUCAAGAACGGAAGUGUGGGAGAAGAAAAGGAAGAUGAUCCUUCUCCACUCUGCUUUGCUAGUUGUAUUUCCAUCAUGAGCUCUCUUCUUACGUCAAACUCCACCAUGCGUCUACGAGCAAUCUCUUCUGCAAUAAUCUUCUCUCUAAUACGCUCCUUCUCAAUCUCUCUCAUAAUUGCCUCACGCAUAUUGGCAGGUUUGUUUUCAAAAUGAGGCGGAUCUACAUAGCCAGCUGAAAGUUGUGAUAAACAUAAUAAAGAGCAACAAUGAGAUUAACCACAAUAGUUUCCAAAUGUACUUAACAGAGGCCAACACGGAACACAAACAAAACCCCCAAAAUUCUUUCGAUCACUACAGAAUUGUUCAUCAAACAGAGAAAUAAAAAGAGCAAGAAUCCUAGCUCUGCCUCGGAAUUCUCUCAUUGCAUUUUCAACAUUAGAUUUCCUGAAUCCCACACAUUUAGUGAUUUUCCUGAAAAAUCACCCUCUUUACUCAAUAACAAUUGCCACUUCAAUAUAACAAAGCACACGACAACACUAACACUACUCUCCACCUCCUCAAUUAACUACAUUCUCAUUGAGAUUAACCCCAACGUCUCCUAAUGCACUUCACAGAGGCCAACUCAAAACACAAAUAAAACCGAAAAUCCCUUCUAUCGCUACAGAAUUGUCAAUUGAACAGAAAAAUAAUGCUAACAUACACUAUUCUCCAUCCACUCAAUAAACUACAUUAUUUCCAAAAAGCUAGUUUCUAACAACAUUGGCCUACCUAGAUGGAUUUUUGUUCUACGGUUAGUUGCUCUAGGAAGGCUCAACACAAGGAACAGGCUGUUUAAAUGGGGGUGACUACAAAUCAGAUGUGUUCACUUUGUGAGGUGGAGAAUGAUACCAUACAUCGUCUGUUUUUCGCAUGUAAUGUGCCUUACCAGGUGUGGCAGAAGUUGUUGUUAUGGAGUGAUAUCAGGAGAACAUCCGUGAAAUGAGCUGAACAACAUGCUAAAGAAAGAGGUCCAAAUGCUGAAAUGUAUAGAAUGAUGCUAGCUGCUACUGUCUUUUUUCACGAUAUUUCAGAACAAGAAGCAGACUACGACUAGAUUGAUAAAGCAAGUGAUCAAAGCAAGGAGAGUUUCCAAAAGCUCAAUACUUGGCUUGAAGAACACAGUUUCUAUCCUGCAGCUUGAUACAACUUUGUUAAGAAAUAUCGGUCAAAAGACACACGUAAAGUAUCAUUUUUUUGUGAGAUUUACACCCCAACCAUCAAUAGUUUCCUCUUCCUACUUAAACUAUCACCAUCUAUGUAUUAAAAACACACCUCAACUACUCUCCGCCUCCACAAUUAACUACAUUCUCAUCGACAUAAACAACAUCUCCCGACUGUACUCCACAAACAAAGCCCAAAAAUCCCUUCCAUUAAUACAAAAUUGUCCAUUGAACAGAAAAACUACUCUACGCCUCCUCAAUUAACUACAUCCUCAUCGAGAUUAACCACAUCGUCUCCUGAAUGUACUCCACAUAAGCUAAACACAAAAUCCCUUCUAUCUCUAUAGGAUUGCCCCAUUGAGCAGAAAAAUUAAUGCUAAUAGUACUCUCCACCUCGUCAAUCAAAUACAUUCUCAUCCAGAUUAACCACAAAUGUUUCUGAAUAUACUUCACACAAACUAAUACAAAACACAAAUUCUGGAUUGUCGGAUUAAACACAAAAAGAAUGGUAAAACUACUCUCCACCACCUCAAUCAGUUACAUUCUCACGCAGAUUAACCACAAACCUUUCCGAUAUACUUCACAUAGACAAACCCAAAACCCAAAAUCCUUUCUUUCGUACAAAUCAUUCAUCCACAGAAAAAAUAUAUAUAAAAAAGCGAAAAUUCAGAGAAAAGGAAGAAACCUCGAAUAGCUUGUUGAGAGAAGUAAGUGAGAGACGGAAGUUGUGUAUAACUCAUCGGAGGCUGAGGAUGCUGUGCAUAGCUCGUCAUCGUCUGAGGUCGCGCCGGCGCCGGAUGAUCGCCGACCGAUUCAUACUUGUAAUCCAUCAAAAUUCACUCAAAAAUUUUGAAAUUUUUCUUGAAAUUCACAAUGCCAAAACAGCAAAUCGUUACAUAUAUAGAGAGAUUGAGAGCAAAAAAGGUAGGGUUUUUUUCUGGGCGUGAUGAACAAACAGUGAUUUUGGGAAUUUGUGUUGA